This 3210-nucleotide ribosomal RNA is filed under the name Triticum aestivum (bread wheat). RNAcentral describes it as "partial small subunit ribosomal RNA". The record is from RNAcentral. Lineage: Eukaryota; Viridiplantae; Streptophyta; Magnoliopsida; Poales; Poaceae.
AUGGCCAUCGUGCUGGAUGCCUUCGCGUCCUAUGUCGCUGACAUGCUCAAGCAGGUGGUGGAGGACGAGGUGGGGAUGCUGCUCGGCGUCACCGGCCAGAUCGACAAGAUGGGCGUCAAGCUUGGGGACCUCAAGAAAUUCCUGGCCGAUGCCGAGAGGAGACGCAUCACCGACACCAGCGUGCAGGGCUGGGUGACCGAGCUCAAGCGCGCCAUGUACGACGCCACCGACAUCCUCGACAUCUGCCAGCUCAAGGCCAUGGAUCACCAUGCAGCAUCACGCAUGGGGUGCUGCAACCCGUUGCUCUUCUGCUUGCGGAACCCCCUCUCCGCCCAUGAAAUCGGCACCCGCAUCAGGGCGCUCAACCAGAAGCUCGACGACAUCAAGGAGCGAAGCGCUGCCUUCGGCUUCGACCUUUGUUCGUACGAGGACUCUAGCAGCAAGGUACAUUCCUCUCGCUUGUCUACCAGCCGCGAGACGUCGUGGGAGCUCGACCGGUCAGGUGUGGUCGGGGAGAAGAUCAAAGAAGACACAAGGGCACUUGUAGAAAUCAUGGUGAGAAGACCUGAGGUAGAAACCAGCAAUGCAGACAACAACAGAGUCAUGGCUUUUGCCAUUGUGGGUGUUGGUGGGAUCGGCAAGACCACCCUCGCUCGGAAGGUCUUCAACGAUGAAGCCAUAAAUGCCAAUUUCGACACCAAGAUAUGGUUGAGUGUCAACCAGGGCUUCGACAAGGUUGAGCUUCUUAGGACAGCCAUCACUCUUGCCGGGGGAAAGCACCGUAGUGAAAAAGCGUUGGCAGUGCUUUGGCCAAUCCUUAGUGAUGCCUUGACAGGGAAGAAGAUAUUCCUGAUAAUGGAUGACGUGUGGAGCCAUGAAGCAUGGGGUGAUGUGCUUGAAACACCCCUUGUUAAUGAUGUGGCCCGAGGUAGCCGUGUCCUCAUCACUACUAGAGAUACAAGAGUUGCCCGAGGGGUGAAAGCUGUGCUUCCCUACCACCACGUCGACAAAUUAGAUGAUGAAGAUGCCUGGUCAUUGCUCAGGAAACAGGUAAUUUCAAGUGAGACAGAUAGACCUGAAGUUGAUAUGCUUAAGGAUAUUGGAUUGCAAAUUGCUGUAAAAUGUGGUGGUUUGCCUCUUGCUGUCAAAGUAAUGGGAGGACUGUUGUGUCAGAAGGAUAAACAACGCCAUGAAUGGAAUAUGGUUCUGAAUGAUUCUAUAUGGUCGGCAUCUGAAAUGCCUGAAGAGCUAAACUAUUCAAUAUAUUUAAGCUAUGAAGAUUUACCUCCUUCCAUCAAGCAGUGCUUUCUAUACUACUCCCUUCUCCCUAAAAGUGCAGUGUGGUAUAAAAAUAGCAUUAUUGGUAUGUGGAUUAGUGAAGGAUUUCUUCAUGGAACCUCUGCUGACUUGGAAGAACUAGGAAGCAAGUACUAUAAGGAGCUGAUUCUGAGGAACCUUAUAGAGCCAGUUACAAAAUGGGCUGAUCAGCAAGUUUGCAGCAUGCAUGAUGUUGUUCGCUCAUUUGCUCAGUUUGUGGCUAGAGAUGAGGCACUAGCAGCUCAGAGUGGAGAGACUGGUUUCAUUACUAAACUUAGUUCACACAAGUUCCUUCGGUUGUCUAUGGAAAAGAAAGUAUCAGAAUCAGAUGGGUUGGACUGGAGUUCCUUACAUGCACAAAAGACACUGAGAACACUAAUAUUAGUUGGCCCUAUAUCUAUGAAGCCUAGUGAUUCGAUUGUUGAUUUUCCCUGCCUACGAACUCUACAUACAGAAUCUGUAGAUGUUGCUGUAUUGGUUGAGUCUUUGGGGAAACUCAAGCACUUGAGGUACUUGUUCAUAUGGAAAUCCGAUAUAUCAAGUUUGCCAGAUAACAUUGGAAAUAUGAAAUUUCUGCAGUUCAUUUGCCUUGUAAAAUGCCAGCAAUCUGUGAAACUUCCACAUAGCAUUUUGAAGCUAGCGCAACUGAGGUAUCUUAACUUUCAUGACUCUAGUAUAAAUGGUAUACCAAAGGGGUUCAGUGUUCUAACAAAUCUAAGGAACCUGCGUGGGUUUCCAGCCCAGACAGAUGGUGUUUGGUGUAGUUUGGAUGAGUUAGGCCCUCUUUCUGAGCUCAGAUCUCUUGGAGUGCAGAGAUUGGAGAAUGUGUCUGUUACCUCGUCUGCGGCAAAGGCAAAGCUUGGUGAGAAAGUUCAUCUGACCCACUUGUUUUUAUACUGCAGCAGUAUAUUGGGAGAUGAUGGGCUGAUUAAAGAUGAAAAGGGUGUCUCUGAGGAAGAACAGCGACAAAUUGCGGGUGUGUUUGAUGAGCUCUGCCCUUCGCCUAGCUUAGAGUAUCUUGAUAUAAAUGGAUUUUUUGGCCGACGGCUCCCAAGGUGGAUGAUGUCAAGAUCAGCACCGGUCUUCAAGAGCUUGAGGAUUAUAUUCAUGCUUGAUCUAGCUUGUUGCACCCAACUACCAGAUUGCUUGUGUCAACUCCCAUGUUUGCAGGACAUUACGAUCCGUCGCGCUCCAGCCAUCAAGCAUGUUGGACAUGAAUUCCUGCAAUCCUACCAGACACCGGCUGCGUUCCCGAGAUUGAGGAAGUUGGAGUUAACUGGAAUGGUGGAAUGGGAGGAGUGGAAGUGGGAGGAGCAAGUGCAAGCCAUGCCUCUUUUGGAGGUGCUUGAGCUCGAAAAUUGCAGAUUGAGGUGUCUUCCUCCUGGCCUUGCCUCACAUGCAAGGGCUUUAAAGUCUAUAUCUGCACAAAAUAACCAGCACCUCAACUCACUAGAGAACUUUGCUUCUGCUGUUGAGCUGGAAGUGGCUAAAAACCCCGACUUGGAGAGGAUCACUAAUCUUCCCAAUCUGCGGAAGCUUGAGAUCGAGGCUUGCCCAAAGCUGAAUGUACUGGAGGGUAUUUGUGCACUCCAGAGGCUCGUAUUGGAGGAUUAUGCCAUGGAAACACUUCCUGGAUACAUGCAAGAUGUAAACCCAAGGCAUUUUGAGUUACGCUGCAGCCUGACGUUGCUCACUUCCAUAGCCGCGGGACAAUCUGGCCCUGAGUGGGAUAGGUUCAGUCAUAUCGACCAUGUCAAGGCAUAUGCACCUGAUGAGAACAAUACAAGGAAAUGGUACGUGUUGUACACGAGAGAGCCCUGCAGCUUGAUCACAAAUGUCCGUCACUCCAUAUCUGCAGGGGAUGAACAGGAGGACCAGCAAGUAAUUUCAUGA